Molecule: long non-coding RNA, 591 nt
Filed under: Nicotiana benthamiana
Lineage: Eukaryota; Viridiplantae; Streptophyta; Magnoliopsida; Solanales; Solanaceae
Description: long non-coding RNA (NBEN_LNC018101)
Source: RNAcentral
AAAAAUUUGGCAAAAACUGAAACGGCUAAAAAGAUAUUGAGAGGGUGUGAAUAAUCAGAACACAUAAAGAGAAAUCAGAAAAUCACUGUUACAUUGAAAUUUUUCCUGCAAUUCUUGGGGUUUUCAAGUUUUUCUGAAGAAAACCUGGGAUUUAUUUGGGUUUGAAAAAGCUGGAUUUGAUAUUGUUGAGCUGCUGAAAUACAUUUGCUUUCUACUGCUGAUCUUCUUACCCUUUCUUUUGCUUAAAUUGCAUCAGGUAUGCCCUUGAAACUGUGAUGGAACUGAAGCCUGACUGAAUUUGUGUAAAGAUCUAUGAAUCUGAAUUGGGAUUUAAAUGGAAACACUAGUUCUUGCUGUAUCUACUGCUAGAUUUCGCCAUUUUAUGUUAUUAAAUUUCCCCAAUUAUGUAGUAAUUUAGUUUUCUUGCAUGUGUUGGUUUGCUCAUUCAUGUUAGUAUCUUAAGGUUGUGCUGAUAAGUUGGAAUAGACGUUUAAGUUAAGAAUGUUGGCUUGUAAUAAUGAUUGAAAUCUAUUAUAUGGGUGAAAUGCUAGACAUGUUGUAGUGGAAGGUUGUUUGAAUGUGUCAAUUUAG